RNAcentral lists this ribosomal RNA (250 nucleotides) under uncultured bacterium. RNAcentral describes it as "partial 16S ribosomal RNA". It matches the Rfam family "Bacterial small subunit ribosomal RNA", at positions 524 to 773 of the family's 1533-position model. The record is from RNAcentral.
UACGUAGGUGGCAAGCGUUGUCCGGAUUUACUGGGCGUAAAGGAUGCGUAGGCGGAUUUUUAAGUCUGAUGUGAAAACCCCGGGCUCAACUUGGGGACUGCAAUUGAAACUGGGAAUCUAGAGUGCGGGAGAGGAAAGUGGAAUUCCUAGUGUAGCGGUGAAAUGCGUAGAGAUUAGGAAGAACACCAGUGGCGAAGGCGACUUUCUGGACCGUAACUGACGCUGAGGCAUGAAAGCGUGGGUAGCAAAC